This 304-nucleotide long non-coding RNA is filed under the name Helianthus annuus (common sunflower). RNAcentral describes it as "hypothetical non coding rna". The record is from RNAcentral. Lineage: Eukaryota; Viridiplantae; Streptophyta; Magnoliopsida; Asterales; Asteraceae.
GCGAGUGCACACGCAGCGGCAUCGUUAAGUGCACACAUAGUAGUCAGACACACGCAGCAACGUCGUUGAGAACACAGGCAGCAGCGGCGUCGGCCACGCGCUACAGCGUCGUCGGACGCGCGCAGCAGCGUUGUGAGAUGCAGCGAGCAGCGUUGUCGGACGCACACAACAGCGUUGUUGAGUGCACACACAGCAGCAGCGACGGUCGCGCGCAGCAGUUUCGUCGGACGCGCGCAGCAGCGUCGUCGAGUGCACACGCAGCAGCGGCGUCAGUCGUGCGCAGCAGUGUCGUCGGACGCAGCGC